This 468-nucleotide ribosomal RNA is filed under the name uncultured bacterium. RNAcentral describes it as "partial 16S ribosomal RNA". It matches the Rfam family "Bacterial small subunit ribosomal RNA", at positions 28 to 507 of the family's 1533-position model. The record is from RNAcentral.
GACGAACGCUGGCGGCGUGCUUAACACAUGCAAAUCGAACGGAAAGGCCCUGCUUUUGUGGGGUGCUCGAGUGGCGAACGGGUGAGUAACACGUGAGUAACCUGCCCUUGACUUUGGGAUAACUUCAGGAAACUGGGGCUAAUACCGGAUAGGAGCUCCUGCUGCAUGGUGGGGGUUGGAAAGUUUCGGCGGUUGGGGAUGGACUCGCGGCUUAUCAGCUUGUUGGUGGGGUAGUGGCUUACCAAGGCUUUGACGGGUAGCCGGCCUGAGAGGGUGACCGGCCACAUUGGGACUGAGAUACGGCCCAGACUCCUACGGGAGGCAGCAGUGGGGAAUAUUGCACAAUGGGCGGAAGCCUGAUGCAGCAACGCCGCGUGCGGGAUGACGGCCUUCGGGUUGUAAACCGCUUUCGCCUGUGACGAAGCGUGAGUGACGGUAAUGGGUAAAGAAGCACCGGCUAACUACGUG